AGUGAACGCUGGCGGUAGGCCUAACACAUGCAAGUCGAACGGCAGCACAGUAAGUGCUUGCUCUUACGGGUGGCGAGUGGCGGACGGGUGAGGAAUACAUCGGCAUCUACUUUUUCGUGGGGGAUAACGUAGGGAAACUUACGCUAAUACCGCAUACGACCUACGGGUGAAAGCAGGGGAUCUUCGGACCUUGCGCGAUUGAAUGAGCCGAUGUCGCAUUAGCUAGUUGGCGGGGUAAAGGCCCACCAAGGCGACGAUCCGUAGCUGGUCUGAGAGGAUGGUCAGCCACACUGGAACUGAGACACGGUCCAGACUCCUACGGGAGGCAGCAGUGGGGAAUAUUGGACAAUGGGCGGAAGCCUGGUCCAGCCAUGCCGAGUGGGUGAAGAAGGCCUUCGGGUUGUAAAGCUCUUUUGUUGGGAAAGAAAAGCAGCAGGUUAAUACCCCGCUGUUCUGACGGUACCCAAAGAAUAAGCACCGGCUAACUUCGUG
This 492-nucleotide ribosomal RNA is filed under the name uncultured bacterium. RNAcentral describes it as "partial 16S ribosomal RNA". It matches the Rfam family "Bacterial small subunit ribosomal RNA", at positions 29 to 507 of the family's 1533-position model. The record is from RNAcentral.